Penaeus vannamei (Pacific white shrimp) is the source of this 833-nucleotide long non-coding RNA. RefSeq lists it as uncharacterized. The record is from RefSeq and is a predicted model, not a curated record. NCBI's taxonomy places the organism in Eukaryota, Metazoa, Arthropoda, Malacostraca, Decapoda, Penaeidae.
GCCAAGUCGUCUUUUCUCCACUAUAAGGAGAGAUUCUCCCCCCGCCAUUUCAGUGAACGACGGGAAGCGAGAAAAGAGGAAUUCUUCCGUUGCAGUCUCAAUCCUUAUUUCUAAAGUUGGUCUGGGAGGAUCUGUCCUUCGAAGUCGGUGCAAGAUGCCCAACGAACAGAAACGCGGAGCUAGAGAGUCUCAUCUUCUAACACGAGACAAGCCUAGAAAACCAACGGAAACUGCGUUGUGCAAGCCAGAAAAGAAAGUGGUCCCGCGUCAAAACCUGAAGCCAGAAAAAGGGAAUCCCAAUAUUCCCUCAGGAUGUAUAAGAUACAUCGAAACGCGCGAACAGACCCACGGAUCCCUACAGCAAAAGGUAAUAAAGGAGUAUCAUUUUCCACGAGACAACAAUAAAAAAAAGGAAACUGAGUUGUCCAAGCCAAGAAAACACAGGGAUGCGCGUCCAGAAGAACGUCGCCGCGCCACACCAAAGUGAGCGAAAGCGGAGUCGCCGUCCAGAACCUCAGCUUCGGCCGCGAGGGAGAACCCAGGGGGGGGGGGCGACGUCAUGCUCUUCUUCGUGAAGGAACUGCAGUAGGAAAUGCGAUUGCCUUUGAGAAUAUCUUUUGAAUUGGAGUGAUAAGCUUUAAAUUAAUGAAUUAAGGUGAAAGAACUUUGAAUUUGAUAUACUGAUUGAAACAGCAUUGGGAAAUUUCAUUGAUUUAUAGUGUGAUUAAUUGUUUUGAAUUUGCUGUUGUUUCUUCUGAUUUCAUUUUAAGUCAUACUGAUUUAAUGUCGAAUUUAUGCAUCUUCCCCAAAAUACAAAUGAAUGGUUAAAUGGU